Molecule: transfer RNA, 74 nt
Filed under: Alphaproteobacteria bacterium
Lineage: Bacteria; Pseudomonadati; Pseudomonadota; Alphaproteobacteria
Also listed under: 1 other name
Description: tRNA-Gln
Rfam family: tRNA
About the family: Transfer RNA (tRNA) molecules are approximately 80 nucleotides in length. Their secondary structure includes four short double-helical elements and three loops (D, anti-codon, and T loops). Further hydrogen bonds mediate the characteristic L-shaped molecular structure. tRNAs have two regions of fundamental functional importance: the anti-codon, which is responsible for specific mRNA codon recognition, and the 3' end, to which the tRNAs corresponding amino acid is attached (by aminoacyl-tRNA synthetases). tRNAs cope with the degeneracy of the genetic code in two manners: having more than one tRNA (with a specific anti-codon) for a particular amino acid; and 'wobble' base-pairing, i.e. permitting non-standard base-pairing at the 3rd anti-codon position.
Source: RNAcentral
UGGGGGAUCGUCUAGCGGUAGGACUACGGACUCUGACUCCGUCAACCCUGGUUCGAAUCCAGGUCCCCCAACCA